GUCUCGUAGUUCAACUGCGAUAGAAUACCCGAAGAGAUUCGGGAGAUGUGGGUUCGAUUCCCAUCGGGCGCGGCA
RNAcentral lists this transfer RNA (75 nucleotides) under Verrucomicrobiales bacterium. RNAcentral describes it as "tRNA-OTHER". The stretch from base 3 to 68 matches the Rfam family "tRNA". From Rfam's summary of the family: Transfer RNA (tRNA) molecules are approximately 80 nucleotides in length. Their secondary structure includes four short double-helical elements and three loops (D, anti-codon, and T loops). Further hydrogen bonds mediate the characteristic L-shaped molecular structure. tRNAs have two regions of fundamental functional importance: the anti-codon, which is responsible for specific mRNA codon recognition, and the 3' end, to which the tRNAs corresponding amino acid is attached (by aminoacyl-tRNA synthetases). tRNAs cope with the degeneracy of the genetic code in two manners: having more than one tRNA (with a specific anti-codon) for a particular amino acid; and 'wobble' base-pairing, i.e. permitting non-standard base-pairing at the 3rd anti-codon position. The record is from RNAcentral. Lineage: Bacteria; Pseudomonadati; Verrucomicrobiota; Verrucomicrobiia; Verrucomicrobiales.